This is a long non-coding RNA of Papaver somniferum (opium poppy), 2617 nucleotides long. RefSeq lists it as uncharacterized. The record is from RefSeq and is a predicted model, not a curated record. Lineage: Eukaryota; Viridiplantae; Streptophyta; Magnoliopsida; Ranunculales; Papaveraceae. The transcript has 3 exons.
CUCCUCUCCCUGAAACCAAUGGCGGCUCCAUUGCUGUUGUCGAGCGAUUCCACUUAACUGAAAAUUGAGAGAUGAUCAAGAAGAAUUAGGUGAUGGGUUCUUGUGGUUGUUUUUCAAGGGUGAGAAGAAUAAGAACUGGUGCUAUGAUGAGGUUGAACUCGAUUUCAGAGAGGAAGAACAGAAAAUCUAGGGUUUGUGUUUGCUGUUGGUUUGUGAAGAGAUUGAUGACUAUUUGAGAGUUUGUUAAGGAAUAGAAGAUGGGUCUGAGACGAAUUGGGGUUUUGAGAAGUCAGGCAAGUUGAACUGAAAUAAUGAGUGGUUGAGAUGGUGAAUUUGGGUUUCUGAAUUGAGAAUUUGGUAGCAAAUUGGGUCGAUUGUGUGUUGAACAAGAUGCAGAAUCUGUGUGUGGCUGCUAUUUACGGUGCUAGUUGUAGCUGAUUUGGCCUGACAUGUUCAUUACAGGAGAAGCUCCAAACGGGAUUUGCUAUGUGAUGUUGUUGAGGCAGAGAUGAAGAAUAUCUGUCUUGCAGUGGGAGUGGCAAUGGAAUUGAAGGUGGUGUGUGCUUAGUUGGGAUGAGUUGAAGCUGCUGAGAUAUGGAAAUUGCAGUAUGAGCCCAUGCAGCUGGAUUACAGUGAGGUUCUGGUAUUAAUGAGCUGAGCAAGGAAGUUACAGUGGUAUAGAGGCGCAGAUGAUGGGGUUUGUGAUGAUUCUGUAAACAGGGAAGAGAAGAUUGGUUCUGGUGCAGAGAGGAAAUAAUGAGUUUUGAUAGAGAUGAAAAGGGUUUUGGUUCUGUGAUGAAUUUGAGCAGAAGUUGAUGAUGCCAUGGAGAUUACAAGGCUGUAGAAGGUAGUCAGAUGUUGUUGGUGCUGCGGUGAAUUUGAAGAGAAGUGCAGGACAUGCCUGAGCUGCUGAGGCUAUAAAUGAUAAAUGUUGUUGCAGGUGGUCUUGUUUGUGACUACAAGUGGUUGAACUGAGCCAAGCUGAGUUUCCAUGGAAACGAGAUUAUCUCGUUAAGGAUGAACUUGUUGUGUUGUCACUGAGAUGUGGAGGAGCUCGAAAUGGAAGACUGAGCCGGAUGCAGGAAGUGUUGGCUUGAAAGAGAAAUCAAUGGUUUGCUUAUGCUGUGAAGACAUGAUGCUACAUAUUGAUGCGGUUGAUGUUGCUUGGGAUUGAUGGCACUGGUUGAGUUCAAGAGUGAGUUGCAGUUGCAGCUCAGAUUCUGGUGGACUGAAAUUGGUUCUGCAGCUGCAACCGAAGAUGAUGGAUGUUUGGGAGAUGAAGUGCAGGAGCUGUUGGCGUUACUUGCAGUUUGAACACGAAACUGAGACAGAGAAUGGAUUUUCUGUGAAUGAAUGAAUAGCUGGUAUUGGUCUAAGUUCAAGUGCAGGUAUUGCAAUUCAGUGACUUGAGCAAGUGGUAGUCUGAAGAUGUGUGGGUUUAGUUUGAGCUCAAAUGGAAUUGGAAGAGCUGCGAGGUAUGAAUCCGAGAAGGUGACGUUAAUGUUUGCAGUCAGGUUCAGAAUGAGUAGCUGCUAUCAGAACUGGUGCAGGGGCAUUGUAGGUGCAUUGGCUGUAGUGCUGCUGUGUGUGUGGAUAAUUGGGUACUGUGGAUUCAGGGUCGGAACUCAACUGAAAUGGCUCGAGUCCGUGGCAGUGUUGAUAUGCUAAGUGGUGGUGUUGCAGGUGAGUGUUAAGCUCCUGACAUGGAAUGGCUUGAUGCUGCUGUUGACGUUAAGAUACGGGCAGUGAGAGUCGGCGAACGAAAUGGAAAUUGAGGUUGGUUGAGACACUGGUGGUUGGUUAAUGCUGCUGCUGGUAAUGAGUUAUUGAGCUGUGGUAAACUAGAAGGGUGUUGCUGCUUCUUAAGAAAUGAGUUGAACUGUUGUUGCUGCGAGAUGAUGUUGUCGAAUGGUAUCUGGUGAAUGAAUGUUAGAUGAAUGUUAGGUUUGCAGGGGAGAAGAAAUUGGCCUGGAAAUUGCCUGAAAAGAAAGGAAACUCUGCCAGAUUUUCUACUGAGGCGAGUUGACUCAGUGACCCGAGCUGACUCACUGGACAUGGACCUGUUUGCAAUGGGCUUCACUCAUGGGCUGUUUCAGUUGUGGAUUUUUUGGCAGCGAUCAGGAGGCUCCAAAAGUGGGGUCAUCGUCCGCAAGUACAUUCAUUGAGCGUGUGGAACGCCAAUUAGGCCGUUCAGUCAGUCAAGAUGGUCCUGAAGUGCUUUUUCCUCGUGCAGCGAGCGAGUGGCCUUAAAGGCAGUGCUGAGGAUCAGAGUUCUUCCCCUUCCAAGUCUCGUGAGUAUACUAUGUUGUUUCUUAAUAGGUUUGAGUACUGACACGUGCCAGUCGAGAUAUUUUGUUGUUAUUAUUAAAUGCACUUGGUGAUCUAUAUAUACAUCUUCCUUCCUUAUAUCUUCCCGAGAAACUUAUUUUACUUCCUCUUUUUCUCUUGCUUUCCAUAUUUUAUUAGAUCACUCUGAGCCAGCUGUGUUUUGCUCUUCUAGCAAUACACUAUGACAUUGUAUAACAAUGAUUGAGAACAUCUGUUUUCUUAUUGUUAUGGCUACGGAUCUUUAAUAACAAUGAUGUUGAGUUGAAUACGUUCGAAAUUGCUGAAGUAC